Molecule: long non-coding RNA, 2472 nt
Filed under: Durio zibethinus
Lineage: Eukaryota; Viridiplantae; Streptophyta; Magnoliopsida; Malvales; Malvaceae
Description: long non-coding RNA (DZIB_LNC001390)
Source: RNAcentral
CAAAGCAGAAAAAUAUUAACAGUGUCUUGUCGAUUGUCAUAACAUAAAUUUCUGUCAUUGGUUAGCCUAUGAUUCGUAAACUGUAAUGCAAAAAGCUCAAGUUAGCUUUAACAAAGUAAAAGACCAAGUUAACUUUAACAAAAUAGACUAUUACUACGUUUUUUAAGUUAAAAAAUCUUUAUUAUUAUAUUUUUAAUUGGAAGUUAAUGAGAUAAUACAUAAAUAAUUUCCUCCAAAUGCUUAAAAUUGACUGCUUAGACUGGAAAAUAUUCAAAAUGAAAAGAAUCUAUAAGUGCAUAUAUUUGAAAAGAGAACUAGAUUUUAUGCCAUGUCAUAGUUCUUAAAGCAAGACAAGAUUGAGAUUCAUAGGCUUUUCAGUUCAGACUUACAUCAAAUAAAAUGUUUUAAACAAAAUAACUGCUGACUAAGAGGAAAGAAUUUAUAUGUGUCGUCUUUGCAUUUUAGCAUCCACUAAUUUGCCAUCCUGUCUCUCAGUGAUGUUUACUUUGCCAUUAGAUUCAUGCAAGUCAUUCUCAAGAUGUUGGGCACGUCAAAGGGCUUUUCCUUCUAUUUGGGCUAGUCAUGCUUCUGAGAUAGGUUGGACUCUGAACAAUAAUGUGAACUCAGUUCCUAGGUUCAGUUGAUUGUUCAGGUGCUCUUCCAGCCAUUUUCUUUAACUGCCAAAGAACAGUAUUAAUCAACAUCCAUUGCUGUUAUAAUAGAUGAACAUAAUGCCAAAUCUUAAAAGAAAGCAUCUCGAUGAUAAUUGUAUUUAAUCAUUCUGUUCUUAGCUCAAGUCAUUUACACUGACAAUCUAAUGGAACCAAUCUAAUGGCAUUUAAGAACCAUUUAAUAAUAGUAUCAUUUUUACCAUCACCAACAAGCACCGGAUUGCGAAGGUUGAAGCCAGGACCUUAGCUUAUGUGUAAAUAAACCAGUUUGUAUGCAAAAAAAUUCAAUAAAGCGCAUAGGAUAUAAAUCAGUGCCAUCUAAACUUUUGCAUUGGCUUAUUCUGGUCGAUCUGUACAUACACACAAGCAUCUCUUUAUUCUAUUGGUAUUAGGUUUUAUAAAUUGAAUAAUAAUAUAAAAUAAAGAAAGUUCAUGGUAAAAGAGAAAAUAAAGUGAAAAACAUGAAAAGGAAUCGAAGAAAGCACAUUUCAAGCAUAUCAUUUCUUAACCCAUUUCAAGCAUCUUAUACUAAAAGGAAACAAACAGUAGCAUAAAGCUUAAAACCACAUCAAUUAACCAACGUAGCAGAUUUUCAAGCUUAAUUCAAGUUGUAAUUAAAUCAGAUAUGACUAAUUUCCAUAUGAAAAUGACAUAUUAAUUUCCUUCCACUAAAACAUGCUGAUAAUUAUUGAAUUUCGUUGUCAAAGAGUCAAGUGAUUGAGCUCAUCCCAUUAUCACCACUAUGUCAUUACAAAUACGACAGUUCUUCUACAAAAAGUGUACCAUUAAAAAAUACCAAGCAUCAUUUAAAAUGCAGAAACAUUGGUAUAUAUAUCAGUUGAAAUUAUCAUCUAUGUUCUUUGAUUUUGUUCAAAUGAGAUGUCAAAAAGAUUUUUUAGAAGUUGAAAAUGCGUAGGUUCAUCGAAAAGAUGAGGGCAGCAUUGCUCCAAACAAUAUAUAUUUAAAAAAAAAAAACACAUCUGAUGAUACGGAUCAUGCUGAUUAACAUGGAUUAUAUCAUGAAAAUGAAAAAUUGAGUUGCCAAAUCAAAUGGAAAAGCAAAGUCAAGUCGUUGAUAUAAAUUUUAAAACUUAUCUCAAUGAAAGAGACAGGAAUCUUAUUAGACUGUUAGAAGAGAAAAGAGGUUUGGUUCAUCCCCAUCCAAUCAGCCCAAAAAGAGACAUUAACGAGAGAAAUUAAAAUAUUAGACGAGAGAAUUGCAGGGUUUCUCUUUGCUCAAUCCACUUUCUGCUGGAACCAACUACACAGUAAAAAUUGGAGCUAUGCUAGAAAAAAAAAACGGUUGAACAGCUUUACCUUUCAAUGUAAGAAGCAUCUCAUAAACUGGCCGAUAACAGAUAAAGACAAACCCUGGCUCCUUAAAAAAAAAAAAAAAAAACACUCAAAGGAAAAACUUACAGAUCCAAGCGUGGUUCACAAACCCAGACAACGCCACUGCCGCAGAUAUCGGCCAACAGAGAGAGGAAGUCAACCUGGGAUUUUUUGGGGUUGGCAGAAAGAGGAAAGUAGGCGCCGUACACCGGAGUCGGGAGUCGGGGCUUUGGAAUGAAAUUGAGAAACAAAGAACAAACGAAAAAUGGAGGGUUUUUUAGAUUAAUAGCAUUAAAAAGGAUUUGGUACAAGAGAGAAUCCCAAUAUUUUUUCUCGAAAUUUUAUUAUUGAAUAUUUGAUUUCAAUGUUUAAUUUUAAUAUUUGAUUCAAGAUAAUUUAAUUAUUAAAGAAAGUAAUAUAUUACCAACAGUUUUUAAAAUUUGCAAAUAAAAAAUUUACUUUUCGAUGG